GUUUAAAUAGAUUAACUCUUAAAUUACUGAAUUGUGGUUUCAGAGAUGCACUAAGUGCUUUAAACC
RNAcentral lists this transfer RNA (66 nucleotides) under Hyperhalosydna striata. RNAcentral describes it as "tRNA-His". Lineage: Eukaryota; Metazoa; Annelida; Polychaeta; Phyllodocida; Polynoidae. The record is from RNAcentral.